ACGUUCUUUCUACGUGUCAAGGUGAGUGGUAAUGUAGCCCUAAGCGCUUUACUCAGAUAUGUAGAACUCACUGUAAAGGACCAGGGGAUUGUUCACAAAACCACACCAGAUUAAUUCUCUUCUCUCCCAUAGACAUUCCCUGGAGUUAUGGGAAGUGCCAGCUUUUCUACUUCAAUGAUAAAACACCUCCAAGAUGGCACCCGGGACUGCAGCCAUACCUGCUCCCCACAAUGAGACAGAGACCUAUGUCCACUAGAAAGAUAAACAGCCAGUCUGGAUGUGCGCAGGUUUAGGUCCAAGGGGUUUUAAUUGUAACACUCAAUAUAACUUCUACUAACAGAGAUGCCACCUCACCCAGAGGCUCGUCCUGUUAGACUGAGUAGGAGUCUCUUUCAGUCCCCAUCAAAGCAAAGAAACUUACUCUACAAGCCCACUUUCUGGAAGGGCUGCUGUUACAAUGACUUCGAAAACCACUUCAGCUCUACAAGCUUCAGGUUGUGCUCCAUCCCAAGGAAAGGACAGCAAAUCCUAACCAUGUGAGGACUCCACACUGCAGAUCCAAGGAUAAUUAUCCCCACUAUAUCCCCCGGGAAGGAGAUAUGGAGACCACACGAACGUUGACAGUUGCUUUUCACGAUUCCACACACACACAAAAACGGAUGACUAUAAAAGCAUUUUAACGAAUUCGGAUCUGAAAAUUGUAUGCUGAGACUUUCAGCACUUCAAGGCUGGUGGAAUUCGGGCUGUGAAUUUCGUGAUGAUCUCCUGGGAAGAGCAGCUCCCGUAGUCACGGUGGCAUGAAAGAGGAAACAUGAAACAUACUAAGCCAUAUUAGGAUCCUCCCAAACCCAGGUGGCUGAAGG
Mus musculus (house mouse) is the source of this 863-nucleotide long non-coding RNA. RefSeq annotates it as predicted gene, 33260. The transcript has 3 exons. The record is from RefSeq and is a predicted model, not a curated record. Lineage: Eukaryota; Metazoa; Chordata; Mammalia; Rodentia; Muridae.